Paramisgurnus dabryanus is the source of this 1122-nucleotide non-coding RNA. The record is from RefSeq and is a predicted model, not a curated record. NCBI's taxonomy places the organism in Eukaryota, Metazoa, Chordata, Actinopteri, Cypriniformes, Cobitidae.
UUUAAAGAGCACCUAUUAUGGGAUACACGUUUUUAAACAUCCUUUUGUGUGUAAGUGUGCAUUAGUACAUGCUAACGAUAUUCAAAAAGUACAUACCUCAAAGAAAACGAUGACGCGAGUUAUCGUCUCUAACGUUCGAGGACUACAAAAAACACUCGGAUUGUAGGCAACAGUUUACUUCCUGGGAUUGGUGACGUAGAUAAGACCAACAUUAUCAUAGUUCAGCCCUCUCUGCUUUGCUUGGGUACGCCCUCAAAGACGGGGGUGGGGAGCGCCGAGUCAGAAGAGAGCUAAAAUGGCGGAGGUUGUGAGUCCCUGCUGUGACUCUGUUUGCAAACUCUUGUUUCAUUGUUUAAGCGAUUAAAUCUCUCGAGUAGACGCUGUCUCUUUAGAUGCGAGGGCAAAAUAGCACUUUAUGGACUUCCACAGAGGACAUCAUGUUUAAUACGGUUCCGGAAAAAUCCAGUCAGAAGUUCUUCACGGAGUUUUCACAAUAACUGCUUCUCAUGAACCGAAGCUGGAUUUGCGCGAAGUCUCCUCUUGAAAGUUGGAUUACUGUGCACUUCUGGAUCACAGGCUAUUCGCAGCUGGACACAUCCUUCUACACUGUAUGCAAACAUGCAACAUCAUUACACACAGUACAAGGAGUCAGACUGGCAUAUGAGGAGCAAAGGUGUGUAACACAUAUGAUGUAUUUAGCUAGUCUUAGAUGUAUAAAGUUUUUUUUCUCUGCAUAAUAAUAGGAACCCAGGCAGUAGCAUCGUUUCACAAUGUUUCCAUCACCAUCAUCAGUGGAUGCCUUUGCUGUCCGUAGCCUGAGAUUUCAGAUUUGCAGCAAAAAAAAAAUUAUUUUCUCAUUUAUUGGAAUGCUGUGCAGGUAUUUGUACCUUGCAGCCAUCCAUUACAAUGUCACCAAGCCGUAACAAAAGCAGGAGAGGGAAAGUACAAGGCUAUGUUCCCAAAACACACAAGUGACAUACCUUAUGUGGAGGAUGUGAUCAGGCUUGUGUUUGAUGAGGUAUUUGAAGAUAAGCUGAAGGAAGCCCUGAUUCCAAUGGACCUGGCAUCACAGUUUGAGAGACCUUCAAAGGAGGACGUGAUUGCAUGCCAUCUUCAGUGCAG